RNAcentral lists this ribosomal RNA (253 nucleotides) under uncultured bacterium. Its description in RNAcentral is "partial 16S ribosomal RNA". It matches the Rfam family "Bacterial small subunit ribosomal RNA", at positions 524 to 776 of the family's 1533-position model. The record is from RNAcentral.
UACGAAGGUGGCAAGCGUUGUUCGGAUUUACUGGGCGUACAGGGAGCGUAGGCGGUUGGAUAAGCCCUCCGUGAAAUCUCCAGGCUUAACCUGGAAAGUGCAGAGGGGACUGUUCAGCUAGAGGAUGGGAGAGGAGCGCGGAAUUCCCGGUGUAGCGGUGAAAUUCGUAGAUAUCGAGAGGAACACCGGUGGCGAAGGCGGCGAUCUGGACGAUGACUGACGCUGAGACGCGAAAGCGUGGGGAGCAAACAGG